Non-coding RNA from Danaus plexippus plexippus, 46 nucleotides. Lineage: Eukaryota; Metazoa; Arthropoda; Insecta; Lepidoptera; Nymphalidae. The record is from Rfam.
UAAACGGUUUUUUUUAAAUCCAUUCAUAUAUAGUAUAAAUCAAAUU